UAGGGGCUGGAAAGGUGACUCAGUGGUUAAGAGCACUGACUGCUCUUCCAGAGGUCCUGAG
RNAcentral lists this non-coding RNA (61 nucleotides) under Mus musculus (house mouse). The record is from miRBase by way of RNAcentral. RNAcentral also lists the same sequence under 1 other name. Lineage: Eukaryota; Metazoa; Chordata; Mammalia; Rodentia; Muridae.